RNAcentral lists this ribosomal RNA (573 nucleotides) under Bacillus sp. ECWp4. RNAcentral describes it as "bacterial SSU rRNA". It matches the Rfam family "Bacterial small subunit ribosomal RNA", at positions 470 to 1043 of the family's 1533-position model. Lineage: Bacteria; Bacillati; Bacillota; Bacilli; Caryophanales; Bacillaceae. The record is from RNAcentral.
UGGCGGCCGCGGGAAUUCGAUUUGACUGACUGAGUGCCAGCAGCCGCGGUAAUACGUAGGUGGCAAGCGUUGUCCGGAAUUAUUGGGCGUAAAGGGCUCGCAGGCGGUUUCUUAAGUCUGAUGUGAAAGCCCCCGGCUCAACCGGGGAGGGUCAUUGGAAACUGGGGAACUUGAGUGCAGAAGAGGAGAGUGGAAUUCCACGUGUAGCGGUGAAAUGCGUAGAGAUGUGGAGGAACACCAGUGGCGAAGGCGACUCUCUGGUCUGUAACUGACGCUGAGGAGCGAAAGCGUGGGGAGCGAACAGGAUUAGAUACCCUGGUAGUCCACGCCGUAAACGAUGAGUGCUAAGUGUUAGGGGGUUUCCGCCCCUUAGUGCUGCAGCUAACGCAUUAAGCACUCCGCCUGGGGAGUACGGUCGCAAGACUGAAACUCAAAGGAAUUGACGGGGGCCCGCACAAGCGGUGGAGCAUGUGGUUUAAUUCGAAGCAACGCGAAGAACCUUACCAGGUCUUGACAUCCUCUGACAAUCCUAGAGAUAGGACGUCCCCUUCGGGGGCAGAGUGACAGGUGGUG